UACGAAGGGGGCGAGCGUUGUUCGGAAUUACUGGGCGUAAAGGGCGCGUAGGCGGCGAACCAAGUCAGGUGUGAAAGUCCUGGGCUUAACCUGGGGACUGCAUUUGAUACUGGUUUGCUUGAAUUCGGGAGAGGAUAGCGGAAUUCCCGGUGUAGAGGUGAAAUUCGUAGAUAUCGGGAGGAACACCAGCGGCGAAGGCGGCCAUCUGGACAGAUAUUGACGCUGAGGUGCGAAAGCGUGGGGAGCAAACAGG
RNAcentral lists this ribosomal RNA (253 nucleotides) under uncultured bacterium. RNAcentral describes it as "partial 16S ribosomal RNA". It matches the Rfam family "Bacterial small subunit ribosomal RNA", at positions 524 to 776 of the family's 1533-position model. The record is from RNAcentral.